Molecule: non-coding RNA, 543 nt
Organism: Ictidomys tridecemlineatus (thirteen-lined ground squirrel)
Lineage: Eukaryota; Metazoa; Chordata; Mammalia; Rodentia; Sciuridae
Source: RefSeq, a predicted model, not a curated record
CGCGGGCCUGGCCUCAAAGAUGGGCUACAUGUGGUGUCCCCCAAUCUCCGACGGAACUCCGGGCGGAUGAGAGACCACGACAAAGCCAGGCGACAGAACUCGGUUCUGUUGGCUCGGCUUCACUGAGCACCCGCGAAGUCCGGUUCUCUGGUGACCACCCAAGACCUCAAAUCCAACAUGCCGGGGAUCAGCAGACGUCCUGCCUCUGUGCGAUUGGGAGGUUGUGCUGUUGGCCGGCUGCAUGGAACUGGAUUCAGAGAGAGGAAGCGUCCAGGGACGGCGCGUCUGAAGGGUGGUGGGGAAACAGGAGGAUGGCUGGUCACCUCUAAGACUCAGACGGGAAUCAGAGAACCCUCAGAACCGCUCAGCUCGUCCGGCCUGAGUCUGUCCACACGAUGACGUGUCCCCUGCCCCUCCACUUUUCCCAGGAUCACUGAAGACAUUAAGCAACGUGGAUCAGAACACAGGCUUGGCAUCAGAGGUUCAGAACUUGCUGGCUGGAUACUUCUUGUACAGCUUGAGCAAAGGUUGUCCCCCUCUCUG